ACACGACUACAUUAGAUACCCCCGUAGUCCUAGCCGUAAACGAUACUCGCUAGGUGUCGGCCACGGUGCGACCGUUGUCGGUGCCGUAGGGAAGCCGUGAAGCGAGCCACCUGGGAAGUACGGCCGCAAGGCUGAAACUUAAAGGAAUUGGCGGGGAGCACAACAACGGGUGGGAGCUUGCGGUUUAAUUGGAUUCAACGCCGGAAAUCUUACCGGGACCGACAGCAACAUGAAGGCCAAGCUGAAGACUUUGCCGGAUUAGCUG
RNAcentral lists this ribosomal RNA (265 nucleotides) under uncultured archaeon. RNAcentral describes it as "partial 16S ribosomal RNA". It matches the Rfam family "Archaeal small subunit ribosomal RNA", at positions 717 to 982 of the family's 1478-position model. The record is from RNAcentral.